AAGUUCAUAUAGGGGAGCUCUACUCGGCUGAGAGGUUAUUAAUUUAACGACCCUGAACCUGAUCUGGAUAAUGCCAGCGUAGGGAAUAAUUGAGUAUUUAUA
Molecule: non-coding RNA, 102 nt
Filed under: Haloplasma contractile
Lineage: Bacteria; Bacillati; Mycoplasmatota; Mollicutes; Haloplasmatales; Haloplasmataceae
Also listed under: 1 other name
Description: TPP sequence
Rfam family: TPP riboswitch aptamer (THI element)
About the family: Vitamin B(1) in its active form thiamin pyrophosphate (TPP) is an essential coenzyme that is synthesised by coupling of pyrimidine and thiazole moieties in bacteria. The previously detected thiamin-regulatory element, thi box was extended, resulting in a new, highly conserved RNA secondary structure, the THI element, which is widely distributed in eubacteria and also occurs in some archaea. Analysis of operon structures identified a large number of new candidate thiamin-regulated genes, mostly transporters, in various prokaryotic organisms.
Source: RNAcentral